CUCAGCGUUUGGAAAUCUGACUUCUUGUUUAAGGAGCCAGAUCAUUCUCCUAUCAAACCAAAGAUAUCAGGCGAGGAUCGAAUCCAGGAUUCUACAUGGCUUUUAGUCGUCAGGUGUCCGUAUCCUGUUCUUGGCUGUCGUGCAUCUCUUCCCAUCUGGGACGGUUUUCUCCAUCUUUCCCCACUUUUUAUUACUUUCGAAGAGAAGUGGACAGAUAUUCAUAGGAUGUCCCUCAGUUUGGGUUGACUUGAGGUUUUCUCACGUGUAGAAUGAGGUUAUGGAUUUGGAGAGAAGGUCACAGAGGCGAGGUCUUCUCAGUGCAUCGUGUCACAGGGGAAAGGAUGCCAAUGUGACCUCUCACUGCUGCUCCUAACCUGGUGGUCACCAGGUGAAGGUGCUGCCCUCCUGGCUUCUCUCUUGUGAGGGUAGGUGGCCACUGGCAGUCUCACCUCCGUGCUCUUCUGGCACCAGAACCUUCAGCUCCAAAUUGUUAAGUCUGAGGGGAGACAUAUUGGUCCAGCUUGGGAAUCAUGAUGUCCUUCGACCAAUCCCACCCAGGAGAAUUGGAUACUGUGAUGGCUCAAGUCCCGGAUGUGGAGGUGAAUAGCAGAAGAGGGGAGACUGGAAAGCUUGUGCAUCAGAGAAACAGUCCUGUUCUGUAGCCCUGGGCCCACUCCUUCCUGCAUCCAGGGCCUGGCUGCUCAUACUGUUGACUCAGUUCUGAACUGAUGUCUCCAUGGACUCUGCACCUGAUUCCAGAUCAUUAAAGCCCACGUACUUGCUUGAGCUCAGGUGCGAUUCUAACUGUUUUGAAACUCUCUUCUGGAAAUCAUAUUGAAAUAAUUGUGAUCACGUGAUCCAUCACACAUUAACCCAAGUUAGCACCUUUCUACCUCCUUGUAUAAAAGUGUCAAAUCUCUGGGUGAAUGUUUCACAAAAUGCCCAUGUAUAAGAUCAAGCAUGUCUAAUUCGAACUACCUGUGGGAAGGACAAUCUGGAUUAGAAAAACAUCGGAAUCCUGAUUUAUAUUUUAAGUAAUUCAAGUUUCUGUGUUACUGAUUAGGGUUCUAGCGACAGACAGACAAAAGCCACUCUGGGUGGUCUCGGUAGAAAUGACUUAUUAGGAAGUCUAGCUAGCCCACAGGAUGGUGAGGAUAGCUGAAGAGACUGUCUUGUGGCUCUACUCCAGGAAUGACUCCCAAGACCACAUUGUAGGACUCGGCUGCCAACGGAGCUGCUGCGUCCCCAUGGUCAGAAAGCAGCUGGAUGAGGACGCCACCUGCCCCGGCUCCUGGCUCCACAACUGAACCAGCUCUGCCAGGAUCUGUCAGCAAAACGGACGCAUGGCGCCUCUCUCUCUCCGUGUAAUGCCUUCCCAAGUUAAAGUCUCACGCAAGCACCUUUUCCUCUGUGCAAUUUCACUCUCAGUCAAGGUCGUGUGCAAGUACACGUGACUGUUGGACUAAGUCACACCUGGAACUCGAGCUGCAAGGGAGUUUAGGCGAGUCCGCGUGGAGCUUUCCAGCCUCUGUGCAGUAGACGGGGUUGGGCUUGGAACAGAUGUUGAAUGAGCAUCUUCUCUGGCUUCCCCUAAUCCUCACAGAGAGAAGAUGCUUGAUAAAUGUGUGUGAAUGUUUGCGUGUGUGUGCGCGCGCUAUAGACUGAAUGUUUGUUCCCCCCCUCAAUUCAUAUAUUAAAUCCCAGUGCCCAAGGUGAUAGUAUUUAGAGGUGGGGCCUUUGGGAGGUGAUUAGGUCAUGGGUGUGGACCUUCAUGAAGGGCAUUAGUGCCUUCAUAAAAGAGACCCCAGGGGCUGGCUCUGUGGCCGAGUGGUUAAGUUCACACACUGUGUUUCAGCGGCCCAGGAUUUCGCGGGUUCAGAUCCUGGGUGCAGACAUAGCACUGCUCAUCUAAGCCAUGCUGAGGCGGCGUCCCACAUAGCACAACCAGAGGUGCUCACAACUAGAAUAUACAACUAUGUACUGGGGGGCUUUUGUGGAGAAGAAGAAGAAGAAGAAGAAAAAGAAGAUUGGCAACAGAUGUUAGCUCAGGUGCCAAUCUUAAAAAAAAAAGAGAGACUCCAGGUCCUUCCACCAUGUAAGGACGCAGUGAGAAGAUGGUCAUUAGUGAACCAGAAAGCUGGCUCUCACUACGUACUGAAUCUGCCAGCCUUGGACUUCCCAGCCUCCAGAACUGUGAGAAAUAAAUUUCUGUUGUUUAGAAGCCA
Equus caballus (horse) is the source of this 2225-nucleotide long non-coding RNA. NCBI's taxonomy places the organism in Eukaryota, Metazoa, Chordata, Mammalia, Perissodactyla, Equidae. The record is from Ensembl.